GGAAGUGAAAGUCGUAACAAGGUUUCCGUAGGUGAACCUGCGGAAGGAUCAUUCAUAAUAAGUGUUUUAUGGCACUUUUUUAAAUCCAUAUCCACCUUGUGUGCAAUGUCAGGGUUGAUUUUACUCUCGAGAGGAUCAGCCCCAAACAUCAACUAUAUCUCAACUCUUUGUCUGAAAAAUAUUAUGAAUAAAACAAUUCAAAAUACAACUUUCAACAACGGAUCUCUUGGCUCUC
This 235-nucleotide unclassified non-coding RNA is filed under the name plant metagenome. Its description in RNAcentral is "partial contains small subunit ribosomal RNA, internal transcribed spacer 1, and 5.8S ribosomal RNA". The stretch from base 1 to 54 matches the Rfam family "Eukaryotic small subunit ribosomal RNA", at positions 1778 to 1831 of the family's 1831-position model. The record is from RNAcentral.